AGAACGAACGCUGGCGGCAUGCCUAAUACAUGCAAGUCGAACGAACACUUCGGUGUUAGUGGCGCACGGGUGCGUAACGCGUGGGAAUCUGCCCUUGGGUUCGGAAUAACAGUUGGAAACGACUGCUAAUACCGGAUGAUAUCGAAAGAUCAAAGAUUUAUCGCCCAGGGAUGACGCCCGCGUAGGAUUAGCUAGUUGGUGAGGUAAGCUCACAAGGCGACGAUCUAGCUGUCUGAGAGAUGAUCGAGCCACACGUGGACUGACGACGACCGGCCAGACCUCCG
This 284-nucleotide ribosomal RNA is filed under the name uncultured soil bacterium. Its description in RNAcentral is "partial 16S ribosomal RNA". It matches the Rfam family "Bacterial small subunit ribosomal RNA", at positions 26 to 343 of the family's 1533-position model. The record is from RNAcentral.